CCCUUCCUCCAUCAUGAGUUUUCUGAGAGCGUCUCAUAUCUGAAACUCCUCCUUCUACUUCUCAUCUUUGGAAAAGCCCAAAUCAAGAAGAAGGAGGUACCUGAUCAACCAUCAAAGAAGGAUCAGUGCAGUACUAGCAUACUGUGCUGAUUUCCUGAAGCAAGACUUCUGAUCGAGAUUCGUGGGCUCGUGUGGAUGACUCCUAGAGGUCGGAUGCAUGUGC
Molecule: long non-coding RNA, 223 nt
Filed under: Elaeis guineensis (African oil palm)
Lineage: Eukaryota; Viridiplantae; Streptophyta; Magnoliopsida; Arecales; Arecaceae
Description: long non-coding RNA (EGUI_LNC063515)
Source: RNAcentral